GCAAGUCGAACGGUAACAGGGAAGAGCUUGCUCUUUUGCUGACGAGUGGCGCACGGGUGCGUAACGCGUAUACAAUCUGCCUUUUACAGGGGGAUAGCCUUUAGAAAUGAAGAUUAAUAUCCCAUAGUAAGUCAUUAUGGCAUCAUAGAGACUUUAAAGCUUCGGCGGUAGAAGAUGAGUAUGCGUUCUAUUAGCUAGAUGGUGUGGUAACGGCACACCAUGGCUACGAUAGGUAGGGGUCCUGAGAGGGAGAUC
RNAcentral lists this ribosomal RNA (255 nucleotides) under uncultured bacterium. Its description in RNAcentral is "partial 16S ribosomal RNA". It matches the Rfam family "Bacterial small subunit ribosomal RNA", at positions 57 to 305 of the family's 1533-position model. The record is from RNAcentral.